UACCAAACUGUACGGUUUCGCAACAGUGUGUGUGAACUUGAAAGCAGACAUUAGUUGAACAUAUUGUGAACAUAUUGUGGCAAGACAAAUGGAUAACUCUCAAAUCCAGCAGGAGAUUGACAGAUAUGACUUGAAGGAACAACGCAGAGCUUUGAUGUUGUGUACCAAGAAGGGUCACAAGGGUGCUGAUGGCGACCUCAAAAUAAUGACCAAACUUUUCAUGGAUUAUGGUUUCCUGUAUAAAAUUAAGAUUGACAAAACUGCAAAGGAAAUGAAGAAGGCAGUCUCUGAAUUCAGAGACGACAUCAACAGAAGCCCAGAAAACACCAGCUGUGUUUUUGUAGUGAUCACCUCCCAUGGACACCGUGAUGUCAUCAUAGGUGCAGACAACAACUGUCUGCCAGUGAAAGAUAUAAUUGAACCGUUUGGAGACGAGCUGUGCUCCAAGAUGAAGGGGAAGCCCAAGGUCUUCAUCAUAAAUGCCUGUAGAGGGCCGGAGGAGGAUUUUGGAGUGCCUCUUUACUCUGCUGCUGAUACUAAACCAUCAAAGAAGGCCCAGUCCACACGAACAUACAGGUCCAGCCGAGUACCACCAUGUAUUGAUGAUAUGCUGGUUGCAUAUUCAUCUAUGACCGAUUAUGUGUCCUUGAUGAGUUCUGUGGGGUCACAUAUGAUUGUCGACAUAGGUGAAGUGUUUGAUGAUUCAGCCACAGAGAAAGAACACGUCUAUGACUUAUUGGUGAAGGCCAAUGCAAAGAUGGUGAUGAGAGAUACAACAAAGAAAGUGGUGAUGACAAUCGAGUCCACCCUCAAGAGGCUCCUUUACCUGGAACGUAAAACUGGAGCUGAGACAACUAAUCUAGAAAAGUAAAGAUAAUAAGUUGGAAUGUAUAUGCAAUUACGACAAUUAUCAUCAGGGGCAGGAUAGUAACCUGUCUGGAUGAAAUCCCUGAGCCGAAAAGGAAGGAUGAAUGUUUUCUCUUGUGAAGUAAAGGAGCUGGAAUAGCUGGUCAACAGAGUGAAAAAGAUGAAGGAGACCCUGCAGAGGGACAGUUUAGAGGAUUGAAGCGGCCAUCUUGAUACACAGGCAUUGGAAAUGUAGUACAUAAACAGUGAAUUUGCUUACUAGUGAAUAGACUUCAGGGGGAAGCCAAACGGAAGCAAACGGGGUGGGACCUUCCUGAAAUAAUGUAGAGAAAAACGUGAAGAAAAUAAUGAUUAUUGAAUCCAGAUAUGUUAUGUUGUAGUCAUGUUAAAUGUACUGUCUGUAUUUCUUAAUGUCUCAAUGUAUGGAAUAUUCUAAUUUAAUGCUAAAUUGUUCGGGGCUUGUUGUGUGAUGUUUCAUAUGAUAAAUUAUAAAUAUGUUGUCAUUGUCUUUUAUGUAAAUACUCUUAUGAUGAGGAUGCUGAUCAGCGUGACAAAAUCUAAUGCUAUAGAUUACAAUAGUUUUACAUGCUCUAUCCAGAACAGAAUAGAUGCUUAGAAAAACUGCAACAUUUCUCCCAACAGUUAUGCUGGAGAGGCAGG
Salvelinus namaycush (lake trout) is the source of this 1527-nucleotide RNA transcript. It is a transcript of the gene named caspase-14-like, with no coding region annotated. NCBI's taxonomy places the organism in Eukaryota, Metazoa, Chordata, Actinopteri, Salmoniformes, Salmonidae. The record is from RefSeq and is a predicted model, not a curated record. The transcript is spliced from 7 exons.